This 1696-nucleotide unclassified non-coding RNA is filed under the name Haliotis rubra (blacklip abalone). RNAcentral describes it as "nF-kappa-B inhibitor alpha-like, transcript variant X4". The record is from RNAcentral. Lineage: Eukaryota; Metazoa; Mollusca; Gastropoda; Lepetellida; Haliotidae.
GACUUUCACAACGUGUUUCCAGUCGAACUCUACUCAUGUUUAGAAUGUAUGAUACCAGUCUGUCUACAAUUUCAUUGUACACGUUCUCCCAAACAAUAACUUGAUGUCACAAGACGUAAGAAAAAGUAUUUUGCAAGAUAUCGGAAAUACCUCUGUACCUGGAAACGAGUGGAUGUUCUUCGUAGCCUAACGAGUGGGAUUUCCAAUAUGCGCAGACAACAAUUUAAAUGAAUGCUCAGAUGUUGGAUGGCACUGGUCAGCUCUCGCUCUACUUACACUGGUACUGUUUCUAUGGUGACUCGUCCGAAAAAUAUGAACAAGGACUGCAAAUUCGAGAGGCCUCCCGGUCGAGAAGCAAACACGAAUCUUGAUUUGGACUUUGGUAACCUCAGUCUGAAUGACACGUGUGAAUCUGGGGUAGAGGUGGGGGUUAGCACAUGUGUCCGACCUGACAGUGUCACUACAAUCACCUGCCCCGGGUAUGUUUCUACAGACGAAGGAUAUGCAAGCAAGUCAAUAUCUUUCACAGACAGAAUGCCCGUUCAGGAGACCGACAACAACACACUUGUGACAUCCAUGAGAUCAGUUGAUAUCUUUCAGGUGUAUCAUCAAGAUAAAGAUGGCGACACGGAUCUUCAUACUGGAAUCAUUCAAGGACAUUCAUCUCUGGUGUUGUUAUUUAUAUCGGCGGCGCCCAACAGUGAGUGGUUGAACAUUACAAACAUGCUUCAACAGACGCCCCUUCACUUGGCUGUUAUUACUUGUCAGGUGAAUAUCGUCCGGCGACUAAUGACGGCCGGAGCAAGAGUUGAUGUUACCGAUAUCCAUGGCAACACACCACUUCACAUUGCAUGUCGCGAGGGCUACCAGGAGAUCGUGGAGUGUCUUCUUCGACCUGUGUAUUAUGAGGAGACACUUCUGAACCAGCAUGAAAUUCCGUACCAAAGGAUACCCCAGGACUUGGAGAAAAGGAACUUUGAUGGACAUACAUGUCUUCACCUGGCCGCCAUGUCGACACAUCUCAAAGUUCUUGAGCUUCUCCUGUCAAAGAAAGCUAACAUCAAUGUCCGUGACGCCACCAGCGGCAGGACAGUUCUCCAUUACGCUUCUGAAACGGGAAACAGAAUUCUUCUUCACUUCCUGUUGUCACAGCGUCAUCUUGACAUUUGUUGCCGAACAUACGGGGGUCAGACUCCUCUCCGUCUCGCAGCAGGGAGGGGUUAUGGGGAUGUCGUUUCCAUCCUCCUCGCCAACGGUGCAGACGUCACAGACAUAGACGGUUCCAAUCAGUCGGACGAUGAAAUGUUUGAUGAUUUUUGUAUUAAUGGACACAUAGUCGCUGUGUAACAACCGUGAAGACGGAAUGUACUGUCAGAUAGAUAUUGUGUAUAUCUACCUCAACUUACUGUGACUCAGACCAAGCUACACACUGUGGUUCUUUUGUUUUCUUGUUGGAAGCGAGAUGAUUCUCCCGUGCGCUUGCGUCCAUGGGUUAGUGUCCCGUUUAACAAUCCCGUUUCAACAAUCACGCAAACUAUAUAACUGGUCCAUUUAUAUCACGGAAUUCCUCGUCUCAGAAGGCAACGUGCAAGAACAACGUCUAAUGGUGGCUGAAUAUGAACACGAGAAGGAAAAUAUGUACAUUUUCCAAUGCAGGCGAAAACACUGAUAUUGAUGUUGAUGUUGACUACAAGUU